This 609-nucleotide ribosomal RNA is filed under the name bacterium SM13-19. Its description in RNAcentral is "bacterial SSU rRNA". It matches the Rfam family "Bacterial small subunit ribosomal RNA", at positions 897 to 1504 of the family's 1533-position model. The record is from RNAcentral.
AAACUCAAAUGAAUUGACGGGGGCCCGCACAAGCGGUGGAGCAUGUGGUUUAAUUCGAUGCAACGCGAAGAACCUUACCUGGUCUUGACAUAUCUAGAAUCCUGCAGAGAUGCGGGAGUGCCUUCGGGAAUUAGAAUACAGGUGCUGCAUGGCUGUCGUCAGCUCGUGUCGUGAGAUGUUGGGUUAAGUCCCGCAACGAGCGCAACCCUUGUCCUUAGUUACCAGCGGGUUAAGCCGGGAACUCUAAGGAUACUGCCAGUGACAAACUGGAGGAAGGCGGGGACGACGUCAAGUCAUCAUGGCCCUUACGACCAGGGCUACACACGUGCUACAAUGGUAGGUACAGAGGGCAGCUACACAGCGAUGUGAUGCGAAUCUCAAAAAGCCUAUCGUAGUCCAGAUUGGAGUCUGCAACUCGACUCCAUGAAGUAGGAAUCGCUAGUAAUCGCGGAUCAGAAUGCCGCGGUGAAUACGUUCCCGGGCCUUGUACACACCGCCCGUCACACCAUGGGAGUUGAUUGCACCAGAAGUGGUUAGCCUAACCUUUUAGGAAGGCGAUCACCACGGUGUGGUUGAUGACUGGGGUGAAGUCGUAACAAGGUAACCGUA